This is a long non-coding RNA of Humulus lupulus (European hop), 343 nucleotides long. RefSeq lists it as uncharacterized. The transcript has 3 exons. NCBI's taxonomy places the organism in Eukaryota, Viridiplantae, Streptophyta, Magnoliopsida, Rosales, Cannabaceae. The record is from RefSeq and is a predicted model, not a curated record.
UUCACAGUUGCAGAGAAAAACAUCCGAGACAAGUUCAGGGCUCUCUGCUCGCACUGCAAUCUGAUUCUCUCUGGUUUAGCUGCUUUCUACAAAGGACAGCGACACACCCACGACCCCGACACACACACGACCUUGGCACACCCUCAACAGAUGUGGAUAUAUUUUUUGUAAUUAAUAUCUUUUGUAUUUUUUGAAUAAUUUAUUUUGUAUUUGUUUAGUGUAUAAUAUUUGAGUUUUGAGUCCUUUAGUUAGUAUCCUUGGUAUGUAAAUCUUGACAUCUAUUGUUAAGAUAUAUGUGUUUGUUCUUACUUUAUUUUUUAAUCUUGGUAUGUAAAUAAUUAUA